This 1325-nucleotide ribosomal RNA is filed under the name metagenome. RNAcentral describes it as "bacterial LSU rRNA". It matches the Rfam family "Bacterial large subunit ribosomal RNA", at positions 1561 to 2925 of the family's 2925-position model. The record is from RNAcentral.
AGUGGAUGGGGAGCAACCUAGUUGUGCGUGUGUAAAGGUAGUGCCAAGAAAAGCGGUGAUCAUGAUGAAAAUCAAUUCCCGGUACCCGAAACCGACACAGGUGGGCAAGUAGAGAAUACUAAGGGGCGCGAGGUAACUCUCUCCAAGGAACUCGGCAAAAUGACCCCGUAACUUAGGGAGAAGGGGUGCCACCGAGAGGUGGUCGCAGUGAAGAGGCCCAGGCGACUGUUUAGCAAAAACAUAGGUCUCUGCAAACUCGAAAGAGGAGGUAUAGGGGCUGACGCCUGCCCAGUGCCGGAAGGUUAAAGAAGUUUGUCAGUCUUAGGAUAAGGCUAGCGACUGAAGCCCCGGUGAACGGCGGCCGUAACUAUAACGGUCCUAAGGUAGCGAAAUUCCUUGUCGGGUAAGUUCCGACCCGCACGAAAGGCGUAACGAUCUGGGCGCUGUCUCGGAGAGAGGCUCGGCGAAAUAGGAUUGUCUGUGAAGAUACGGACUACCUGCAUUUGGACAGAAAGACCCUAUGAAGCUUUACUAUAGCUUGGAAUUGUGUUCGGGCUUCCUGUGCGCAGGAUAGGUGGGAGGCGAAGAAGGUAUUCUUGUGGGGAUACUGGAGCCAACGGUGAGAUACCACUCUCAGGAGGCUAGAAUUCUAACUUAAUUAAGGACAGUUUCAGGUGGGUAGUUUGACUGGGGCGGUCGCCUCCAAAAAGGUAACGGAGGCGUACAAAGGUUCCCUCAGACUGGUUGGAAAUCAGUCGCAGAGUGCAAAGGCAGAAGGGAGCUUGACUGCGAGAAGUACAGUUCGAGCAGGGUGGAAACACGGUCUUAGUGAUCCGACGGUGCUGUGUGGAAGGGCCGUCGCUCAACGGAUAAAAGUUACUCUAGGAUAACAGGCUGAUCUCCCCCAAGAGUUCACAUCGACGGGGAGGUUUGGCACCUCGAUGUCGGCUCAUCGCAACCUGGGGCGGAAGUACGUCCCAAGGGUUGGGCUGUUCGCCCAUUAAAGCGGUACGUGAGCUGGGUUCAGAACGUCGUGAGACAGUUCGGUCCAUAUCCGAUGUAGGCGUGAGAAUAUUGAGAGGAGCCUUCCUUAGUACGAGAGGACCGGGAAGGACGCACCGCUGGUGUACCUGUUAUGAUGCCAAUUGUAAACGCAGGGUAGCCAAGUGCGGAGAGGAUAACCGCUGAGAGCAUCUAAGUGGGAAGCCCACCUCAAGAUGAGUAUUCUGGUGUAAGGUCACGGGAAGACGACCCGUAAAUAGGCACGAGGUGGAAGUGCAGAGAUGUAUGAAGCCGAAGUGUACUAAUAGACCGUCGGCUUGACC